Molecule: ribosomal RNA, 400 nt
Filed under: uncultured bacterium
Lineage: Bacteria
Description: partial 16S ribosomal RNA
Rfam family: Bacterial small subunit ribosomal RNA
Source: RNAcentral
AAUUUUGGACAAUGGGGGAAACCCUGAUGCAGCGACGCCGCGUGGGCGAAGAAGGCCUUCGGGUCGUCCAGCCCUUUUCUGGGUGCCGAGGAAGGACGGUAGCCCAGGAAGAAGUCUCGGCUAACUACGUGCCAGCAGCCGCGGUAAAACGUAGGAGGCAAGCGUUAUCCGGAGUUACUGGGCGUAAAGCGCGCGCAGGCGGUUAGGCAAGUUGGGUGUGAAAGCUCCCGGCUAAACCGGGAGAGUGCAUUCAAGACUGCCUGGCUAGAGGACGGUAGAGGGGCGCAGAAUUCGGGGUGUAGCGGUGAAAUGUGUAGAGAUCCCGAGGAAUACCAGUGGGGAAGCCGGCGCCCUGGGCCGAACCUGACGCUCAGACACGAAAGCGUGGGGAGCAAACAGG